This 141-nucleotide transfer RNA is filed under the name Candidatus Heimdallarchaeota archaeon. RNAcentral describes it as "tRNA-Ser". Lineage: Archaea; Promethearchaeati; Candidatus Heimdallarchaeota. The record is from RNAcentral.
GCCGGGGUAGCCAAGUGGACGGGUUAAUGGUUCACCAUCACCCUUUAGAACGGCGCUGGCCUUGAGAGCCAGUGUACUAUUGUACUCGAGGGUUCGAAUUCCAGGGUGUUAUUAUCCUGAAAGAAAUUCCCUCCCCCGGCG